This 253-nucleotide ribosomal RNA is filed under the name uncultured bacterium. RNAcentral's name for it is "partial 16S ribosomal RNA". It matches the Rfam family "Bacterial small subunit ribosomal RNA", at positions 524 to 776 of the family's 1533-position model. The record is from RNAcentral.
UACGUAGGGUGCAAGCGUUGUCCGGAAUUAUUGGGCGUAAAGAGCUCGUAGGCGGUCUGUCACGUCGGGAGUGAAAACCUGGGGCUUAACCCCGGGCCUGCUUUCGAUACGGGCAGACUAGAGUGCUGUAGGGGAGACUGGAAUUCCUGGUGUAGCGGUGAAAUGCGCAGAUAUCAGGAGGAACACCGGUGGCGAAGGCGGGUCUCUGGGCAGUAACUGACGCUGAGGAGCGAAAGCGUGGGGAGCGAACAGG